RNAcentral lists this ribosomal RNA (492 nucleotides) under uncultured bacterium. Its description in RNAcentral is "partial 16S ribosomal RNA". It matches the Rfam family "Bacterial small subunit ribosomal RNA", at positions 29 to 507 of the family's 1533-position model. The record is from RNAcentral.
AGUGAACGCUGGCGGUAGGCCUAACACAUGCAAGUCGAACGGCAGCACAGUAAGAGCUUGCUCUUACGGGUGGCGAGUGGCGGACGGGUGAGGAAUACAUCGGAAUCUACUUUUUCGUGGGGGAUAACGUAGGGAAACUUACGCUAAUACCGCAUACGACCUACGGGUGAAAGCAGGGGAUCUUCGGACCUUGCGCGAUUGAAUGAGCCGAUGUCGGAUUAGCUAGUUGGCGGGGUAAAGGCCCACCAAGGCGACGAUCCGUAGCUGGUCUGAGAGGAUGAUCAGCCACAUUGGAACUGAGACACGGUCCAGACUCCUACGGGAGGCAGCAGUGGGGAAUAUUGGACAAUGGGCGCAAGCCUGAUCCAGCCAUACCGCGUGAGUGAAGAAGGCCUUCGGGUUGUAAAGCCCUUUUGUUGGGAAAGAAAAGCAGCAGGUUAAUACCCCGCUGUUCUGACGGUACCCAAAGAAUAAGCACCGGCUAACUUCGUG